GCGGCAGGCUACACAUGCAGUCGAGCGGUAGCACAGAGAGCUUGCUCUCGGGUGACGAGCGGCGGACGGGUGAGUAAUGUCUGGGAAACUGCCUGAUGGAGGGGGAUAACUACUGGAAACGGUAGCUAAUACCGCAUAACGUCGCAAGACCAAAGUGGGGGACCUUCGGGCCUCAUGCCAUCAGAUGUGCCCAGAUGGGAUUAGCUAGUAGGUGGGGUAAUGGCUCACCUAGGCGACGAUCCCUAGCUGGUCUGAGAGGAUGACCAGCCACACUGGAACUGAGACACGGUCCAGACUCCUACGGGAGGCAGCAGUGGGGAAUAUUGCACAAUGGGCGCAAGCCUGAUGCAGCCAUGCCGCGUGUAUGAAGAAGGCCUUCGGGUUGUAAAGUACUUUCAGCGAGGAGGAAGGCGUUAAGGUUAAUAACCUUAGCGAUUGACGUUACUCGCAGAAGAAGCACCGGCUAACUCCGUGCCAGCAGCCGCGGUAAUACGGAGGGUGCAAGCGUUAAUCGGAAUUACUGGGCGUAAAGCGCACGCAGGCGGUCUGUCAAGUCGGAUGUGAAAUCCCCGGGCUCAACCUGGGAACUGCAUUCGAAACUGGCAGGCUAGAGUCUUGUAGAGGGGGGUAGAAUUCCAGGUGUAGCGGUGAAAUGCGUAGAGAUCUGGAGGAAUACCGGUGGCGAAGGCGGCCCCCUGGACAAAGACUGACGCUCAGGUGCGAAAGCGUGGGGAGCAAACAGGAUUAGAUACCCUGGUAGUCCACGCCGUAAACGAUGUCGACUUGGAGGUUGUGCCCUUGAGGCGUGGCUUCCGGAGCUAACGCGUUAAGUCGACCGCCUGGGGAGUACGGCCGCAAGGUUAAAACUCAAAUGAAUUGACGGGGGCCCGCACAAGCGGUGGAGCAUGUGGUUUAAUUCGAUGCAACGCGAAGAACCUUACCUACUCUUGACAUCCAGAAGAACUUAGCAGAGAUGCUUUGGUGCCUUCGGGAACUCUGAGACAGGUGCUGCAUGGCUGUCGUCAGCUCGUGUUGUGAAAUGUUGGGUUAAGUCCCGCAACGAGCGCAACCCUUAUCCUUUGUUGCCAGCGGUUCCCGGCCGGGAACUCCAAAGGAGACUGCCAGUGAUAAACUGGAGGAAGGUGGGGAUGACGUCAAGUCAUCAUGGCCCUUACGAGUAGGGCUACACACGUGCUACAAUGGCAUAUACAAAGAGAAGCGACCUCGCGAGAGCAAGCGGACCUCAUAAAGUAUGUCGUAGUCCGGAUUGGAGUCUGCAACUCGACUCCAUGAAGUCGGAAUCGCUAGUAAUCGUAGAUCAGAAUGCUACGGUGAAUACGUUCCCGGGCCUUGUACACACCGCCCGUCACACCAUGGGAGUGGGUUGCAAAAGAAGUAGGUAGCUUAACCUUCGGGAGGGCGCUACCAC
This 1429-nucleotide ribosomal RNA is filed under the name Klebsiella aerogenes. RNAcentral's name for it is "bacterial SSU rRNA". It matches the Rfam family "Bacterial small subunit ribosomal RNA". The record is from RNAcentral. Lineage: Bacteria; Pseudomonadati; Pseudomonadota; Gammaproteobacteria; Enterobacterales; Enterobacteriaceae.